RNAcentral lists this ribosomal RNA (274 nucleotides) under uncultured bacterium. RNAcentral's name for it is "partial 16S ribosomal RNA". It matches the Rfam family "Bacterial small subunit ribosomal RNA", at positions 523 to 796 of the family's 1533-position model. The record is from RNAcentral.
AUACGGAGGGUGCAAGCGUUGUCCGGAUUUAUUGGGUUUAAAGGGUGUGUAGGCGGUGUAUUAAGUCAGUGGUGAAAGCCUGCGGCUCAACCGUAGAACUGCCAUUGAUACUGACACACUUGAGUUCGGUUGAGGUAGGCGGAAUUUAUGGUGUAGCGGUGAAAUGCAUAGAUACCAUAAAGAACACCGAUAGCGAAGGCAGCUUACUAAGCCGAAACUGACGCUGAGGCACGAAAGCGUGGGGAGCGAACAGGAUUAGAUACCCCGGUAGUCC